RNAcentral lists this ribosomal RNA (676 nucleotides) under uncultured Kingella sp. RNAcentral's name for it is "bacterial SSU rRNA". It matches the Rfam family "Bacterial small subunit ribosomal RNA", at positions 28 to 688 of the family's 1533-position model. Lineage: Bacteria; Pseudomonadati; Pseudomonadota; Betaproteobacteria; Neisseriales; Neisseriaceae. The record is from RNAcentral.
AUUGAACGCUGGCGGCAUGCCUUACACAUGCAAGUCGAACGGCAGCACGGGAGCAAUCCUGGUGGCGAGUGGCGAACGGGUGAGUAAUACAUCGGAACGUGCCCAAUCGUGGGGGAUAACGCAGCGAAAGCUGUGCUAAUACCGCAUACGAUCUACGGAUGAAAGCAGGGGAUCGCAAGACCUUGCGCGAAUGGAGCGGCCGAUGGCAGAUUAGGUAGUUGGUGAGGUAAAGGCUCACCAAGCCGUCGAUCUGUAGCUGGUCUGAGAGGACGACCAGCCACACUGGGACUGAGACACGGCCCAGACUCCUACGGGAGGCAGCAGUGGGGAAUUUUGGACAAUGGGCGAAAGCCUGAUCCACCCAUGCCGCGUGCAGGAUGAAGGCUUUCGGGUUGUAAACUGUUUUUUUACGGAACAAAACGGCUUUUUCUAAUAAAAAGGCCUAAUGAUGGAACCGAAAGAAAAACCUUGCUUAAUUUCUUCCUAUCACCUCGGGGAAUCUAUGGGUGGAAACCUUUAUCGGAAUUUCCUGGCGCUAAAACGUUGGGGCGGGCGUUUGGAAGAAAAUUUGGAAAAAAACCCGGGUUCAAACCGGGGGAAACUGCUUCUGGGCACCGGCAUACCUUGGGGGUACGGUAAGAGGGGGAUGGGAUUUCCGCGGCGUACCAUUGAAAUU